This 90-nucleotide transfer RNA is filed under the name Spirulina sp. SIO3F2. Its description in RNAcentral is "tRNA-Ser". It matches the Rfam family "tRNA". Rfam says of the family: Transfer RNA (tRNA) molecules are approximately 80 nucleotides in length. Their secondary structure includes four short double-helical elements and three loops (D, anti-codon, and T loops). Further hydrogen bonds mediate the characteristic L-shaped molecular structure. tRNAs have two regions of fundamental functional importance: the anti-codon, which is responsible for specific mRNA codon recognition, and the 3' end, to which the tRNAs corresponding amino acid is attached (by aminoacyl-tRNA synthetases). tRNAs cope with the degeneracy of the genetic code in two manners: having more than one tRNA (with a specific anti-codon) for a particular amino acid; and 'wobble' base-pairing, i.e. permitting non-standard base-pairing at the 3rd anti-codon position. Lineage: Bacteria; Bacillati; Cyanobacteriota; Cyanophyceae; Spirulinales; Spirulinaceae. The record is from RNAcentral. RNAcentral also lists the same sequence under 1 other name.
GGAGAGGUGGCUGAGUGGUCGAAAGCGGUGGAUUGCUAAUCCAUUGUACGUAAUUUACUCGUACCGAGGGUUCGAAUCCCUCUCUCUCCG